UGGAUAGGGUUUCGAGCGAGAUGGUGGGGGAAAACGAUGGGGAGGUGGUAUGUAUCGUAUACCGACAUCUUUCGGGUGUAAACGAGAAAAUCAGUGUAAAAAUUACAGCCCAAAAACAACAUAACAAUGCAAACCAACCCGUGGUUGAUCGUUAGAGGGACCGUGGUAUCCCCAGCCCACGAGGGUUCAAGUCUUGGUGCUUGCAUUAUUCCUGGAUUUAUUUCAGGAUUUCUG
Molecule: long non-coding RNA, 234 nt
Filed under: Hordeum vulgare
Lineage: Eukaryota; Viridiplantae; Streptophyta; Magnoliopsida; Poales; Poaceae
Description: long non-coding RNA (HVUL_LNC013100)
Source: RNAcentral